Long non-coding RNA from Lotus japonicus, 662 nucleotides. RefSeq lists it as uncharacterized. NCBI's taxonomy places the organism in Eukaryota, Viridiplantae, Streptophyta, Magnoliopsida, Fabales, Fabaceae. The transcript is spliced from 3 exons. The record is from RefSeq and is a predicted model, not a curated record.
AGAAAAGAAAAAUAAUAGGAUAAAGAUGAUCAGCACAGCAAGUGGGUUCCGGAUCCUUCUGAAGUAAGUAUAGCCAUCCCCUAUAAAUAGAAACUUUUUUACUUUACCAGGGGACAAAAAAAAAACCGAGAAUUGAGAAGAAAAAGACCAUUAAAAAAAAACAGAGACUGAAAGUAACCAGAUAAGAGAACCAAGAAGCCUGUUUUUAGCUUUCACUUUCACUAAGAUAUAAUCGGUGUUUUGAGUAAGGUUGGACGAGUACAAGAGUUCACAAUCCUUAGAAAGAUUGAGAAGGUCGUCCGAAUUGAUCGACCUUUCUGCAACAGGGUAAAAUUACCCAGGAAAUUCCAAUAGAUAUGUGCUGGAAUGGAGCCAACCAGAAUUUUGUAUCGACCAACUCUUUGAAGAACCUCUCAUGAUCAAGUAGCGCUCCUAGCUAUCGUCUGAACGUGAACAAAAUAACUGCACUUAUUUUGUUAAUAAAUCUCGACAAAUGCACGACAACAUCAUCUCCAUGAAGUAUCUGUGGAGAUAUUUAGGUUGCGUGGUCUGAAAUAUGGAAGACAUAAUUCCUUUUUCAUUUGUAUUAUGAAAAGUUGUUUUGUUUAUUAAUUCUUUGGGUAGGUUGUGACCCAAUUCCAAUAAUCAAUUAUGUGAUGUUA